GACAGAGGGGGCAAGCGUUGUCCGGACUGACUGGGCGUAAAGCGCGCGCAGGCUGUCAGAGGCGUCGGUGCUCAAAGUCCACCGCUUAACGGUGGGAGGCGUGCCGAUACGCUCUGACUGGAGGGCGGGCGAGGGUGGUGGAAUUGCCGGUGUAGUGGUGAAAUGCGUAGAGAUCGGCAGGAACACCGGUGGCGAAGGCGGCUUGCUGGGCCAGUUCUGACGCUGAGGAGCGAAAGCGUGGGGAGCGAACAGG
Molecule: ribosomal RNA, 253 nt
Filed under: uncultured bacterium
Lineage: Bacteria
Description: partial 16S ribosomal RNA
Rfam family: Bacterial small subunit ribosomal RNA
Source: RNAcentral